RNAcentral lists this ribosomal RNA (380 nucleotides) under uncultured eukaryote. RNAcentral's name for it is "partial 18S ribosomal RNA". It matches the Rfam family "Eukaryotic small subunit ribosomal RNA", at positions 592 to 976 of the family's 1831-position model. The record is from RNAcentral.
CAAUAGCGUAUAUUAAAGUUGUUGCGGUUAAAAAGCUCGUAGUUGGAUUUCUGUUGGGAACGACCGGUCCGCCCAUUGGGUGUGUAUCUGGCUUGUUCUCGGCAUCUUCUUGGUGAACGUUGCUGCACUUGACUGUGUGGAGCGCUACCCAGGACUUUUACUUUGAGGAAAUUAGAGUGUUUCAAGCAGGCAUAUGCCUUGAAUACAUUAGCAUGGAAUAAUAAGAUAGGACCUCGGUUCUAUUUUGUUGGUUUCUAGAGCUGAGGUAAUGAUUAAUAGGGAUAGUUGGGGGCAUUCGUAUUUAACUGUCAGAGGUGAAGUUCUUGGAUUUGUUAAAGACGGACUACUGCGAAAGCAUUUGCCAAGGAUGUUUUCAUUGA